This 253-nucleotide ribosomal RNA is filed under the name uncultured bacterium. RNAcentral's name for it is "partial 16S ribosomal RNA". It matches the Rfam family "Bacterial small subunit ribosomal RNA", at positions 524 to 776 of the family's 1533-position model. The record is from RNAcentral.
UACGUAGGUGGCAAGCGUUGUCCGGAUUUACUGGGCGUAAAGAGCGCGCAGGCGGUCGUUCAAGUCGCGUGUGAAAGCCCCCGGCUCAACUGGGGAGGGUCACGCGAUACUGUGCGGCUAGAGUGCGGAAGGGGCAACUGGAAUUCUCGGUGUAGCGGUGAAAUGCGUAGAUAUCGAGAGGAACACCUGCGGCGAAGGCGGGUUGCUGGGCCGACACUGACGCUGAUGCGCGAAAGCCAGGGGAGCGAACGGG